This 86-nucleotide transfer RNA is filed under the name Parachlamydiaceae bacterium. Its description in RNAcentral is "tRNA-Leu". It matches the Rfam family "tRNA". From Rfam's summary of the family: Transfer RNA (tRNA) molecules are approximately 80 nucleotides in length. Their secondary structure includes four short double-helical elements and three loops (D, anti-codon, and T loops). Further hydrogen bonds mediate the characteristic L-shaped molecular structure. tRNAs have two regions of fundamental functional importance: the anti-codon, which is responsible for specific mRNA codon recognition, and the 3' end, to which the tRNAs corresponding amino acid is attached (by aminoacyl-tRNA synthetases). tRNAs cope with the degeneracy of the genetic code in two manners: having more than one tRNA (with a specific anti-codon) for a particular amino acid; and 'wobble' base-pairing, i.e. permitting non-standard base-pairing at the 3rd anti-codon position. The record is from RNAcentral. Lineage: Bacteria; Pseudomonadati; Chlamydiota; Chlamydiia; Parachlamydiales; Parachlamydiaceae.
CGUCGGAGUGGCGGAAUAGGUAUACGCGCUAGCUUGAGGUGCUAGUGAGAGAAAUCUCGUAGGGGUUCAACUCCCCUCUUUCGCAA